This 2472-nucleotide long non-coding RNA is filed under the name Solanum tuberosum (potato). RNAcentral describes it as "long non-coding RNA (STUB_LNC005434)". Lineage: Eukaryota; Viridiplantae; Streptophyta; Magnoliopsida; Solanales; Solanaceae. The record is from RNAcentral.
CAAAAUUCCUCACUCGUUUUCCCCCCAUUUCAGCUUGUUCUCCUCUAUAAAAGCCAAUUUAUUCUUCAUUAAGAGGGACGGGCAAAAAAUUUUACAACGUAUGGGAGAACAGUGAGAAAAAAAUAUAAGAAAGGAGUCGCAAUUUACAAAGUAUAGACAACUUAUAUUAGAGCAAGAUGAUAAGGAAAUAAAAUGGAUAUAAACAAGGCAUUUUGAGAUAGGUUGCGAGAUUGGGAGUAUUUGGAGCCAUACUUCCUCGGUUUUACCUCUUGCGAGUUUGGUGUAGUCUAUUUGUAGUCGUGGAAAGCUCUUUAGCUCGUUUUGUCUCAGUUCGCUGCCACAAAUAAGGUAACAUUCCUUCCCUUAUUCUCUUUUGCUACAGUUCUAUUUUUCAUAUGAUAAGAAAUGCAUAUUUCAGUGAUUUUCAUUUUUGUUUUCUUAUGUGCAUUUAGCCUAUCUCUCGUUUCUUUAGCUUCUGAGUUUCAGAGUUAUUCUCAGGUUUCUGUAUGUUUAAAUUUUACUCCAAUCACAAAUCUUUAGUAUAAAUCAACCUUCUAUUGUUUAUUCCGUUCUAAAUGAAUUGUUAUCGCUUUAGCGGUUUAUUUUAAACUCUGUUGUUGAUAAGAUAGCCUCAUGUUUCUUGUUUCAAACUUGCGGUAUCUUGACUCUAGUAUAAUUUCUGAUUUCUUAGAUUAUGAUUUUUGGUGUUGGACUGCUGGAUUCAUUCUGGAAUACUCAAUAGAUGUAGUCUUAUGUUCAAGUUUAGAUGUUCAACCUAUCGAAUUGAGCUCAUAAUGUUGUUGCUUGUUUGAAUGACUUAAGAUGUAUGCUGAUUUCCUCUCUUGUUGGCUUAAUCUGAAAUUCCCUCAUGUCCAUUUAAUUCAACCCCCUAUUUACUGUAGCAUCGUAAUUAUUUUUCUCUUCAUUGGCUAAAAUCUGGUUGCGAAUUGUUGAGAUCUAAGUUUAAAUUUCAGGUUCUAGUUUGUUUAAAGUUCAUGAAUGUUUUAAGUCUCGUGUUUACCUUAGUUUCUACUCGUCUACCCACCUAUUCUGUUUUGAUUCGUACCACCCUGUUCUGAAUUUAUUUGGUAUUCGUUUAGUCUAGUUUAGCUUCGAAUUUUGUCACCUGAAUCAAGUCCUGCCUUGUUGUUCAUUUGGAGCUUUACUUUCUUACAUUAAGCCCAUGUAAGCGUGGUUAAUUGUUAAGCAUAUGUCCAGCAUGUUUCCAUCUUUUUUUUCUUCGCCUGGUUGAAUUAGUAUGAUAAUAUGCCCUCACUGUUUUCCCUAUCUAAAUUAAGCUUGUUUUGAGUGCAUUUUGCCAUCAAUGUUGUUAGUUACCGUCUCCAGGGGGUAUGUUUAUUUCAUUUCCUUUGGGUCUGAUUUGGUGGUCUUUCCUAAUAUGCUGUAGUAGCAUUGGUUCAUUGAUAUAAAACUAUAUUCAUUGUUAAAGUGACUAGGUUAGGGUAGCUUCAAAUUCAUUUGGUUAUGUGAGAUUAGAAUGUUUCAUUUAAUAUCAUUCGGAAUAGAUGAAUUAUAGGAUAACAACUUCGAUAUUAACAGUGGAAUAUUAUAUUGCGCAGUAUUUUAUAGCAUCGUCCUUUUUUAUUUAUCAUUUUGAACUUUUAUUAACUUACUUACAUCCAUUUCUUUUGCAUGUGAAUUUGCCCAAGUCUUCACGGACUCUAUCUUUGCAUUUCAAAGGGGCCACGAAUCCCCCCAAAAUUCCUUUUUCGAGUCGGCCAACAUGAAAAAUCGAAGUGCAGGUCCUUGACAUUGACGUACAGGUGUUUGGAGCGAAUCAAAGUGCUGGAUACACACAAUAUACAGCGAUAUACAUCAGUCGUAUACACUAAAUAUUGCAUUGAAAAUGGGCUAAAAGAGCCCUAAAUUUUCAGCUUUGUAUUUUGUUACUUUUGGGCCUAAGCUCUUCAUUUGCAAUUAUUAUUAUCACUUGUUAGUUCUUAGGACAGGUGAAAGAUGGGCCUAAGGCCCAAAGAAAUCAAUUUCAAGAUUAGUCUAGGACAUGUAUUAAGUAUUGGGCCUUUGGACCCAAAAUUGAAGACCCAAGUGCAGACCCAGGCAGACAGAACUAGACUUAGGCCCAAACAUUUCUUCUCUUUAUUUGCUUACCUGUUUUUUAUGGUGUCUUAUUUGUUCAAUUAAUUAUAAGAUUUUUCACUAACUCAAUUCCCCAAAGAAGAAUCAACUAUGUCUUUUAAAAUCAAAUAAGCUACACUUUAUUUUACUUGAAUUUAAUUUUUUUAAAAGUAUUUUUGAUAUUUUUCUACUUAAGCAAUAACCUUAUUUCCCCUCCCAUAAAAAUGAGUUCAAAAAAAAAAUGUUUACUUCAUAUAUUUAUCCAAGCAUGCCUAUUCUCUAAAUAAUUUAGCCAAAUAUAAUUAAUCAUUAGAUAACCGCAUGUUAGCGGGAAUUCAGGUGCUUUCAAACCCUUCUCGAAAUGCUAAUAAGAAC